CCUACGGGAGGAAGCAGUAGGGAAUUUUCCACAAUGGGCGAAAGCCUGAUGGAGCAACGCCGCGUGGGUGAAGAAGGUCUUCGGAUCGUAAAACCCUGUUGUUAGAGAAGAAAGUGCGUGAGAGUAACUGUUCACGUUUCGACGGUAUCUAACCAGAAAGCCACGGCUAACUACGUGCCAGCAGCCGCGGUAAUACGUAGGUGGCAAGCGUUAUCCGGAUUGAUUGGGCGUAAAGGGAACGCAGGCGGUCUUUUAAGUCUGAUGUGAAAGCCUUCGGCUUAACCGGAGUAGUGCAUUGGAAACUGGGAGACUUGAGUGCAGAAGAGGAGAGUGGAACUCCAGGUGUAGCGGUGAAAUGCGGAGAUAUAUGGAAGAACACCAGUGGCGAAAGCGGCUCUCUGGUCUGUAACUGACGCUGAGGUUCGAAAGCGUGGGUAGCAAACAGGAUUAGAUACCCCUGUAGUC
RNAcentral lists this ribosomal RNA (465 nucleotides) under uncultured bacterium. RNAcentral's name for it is "partial 16S ribosomal RNA". It matches the Rfam family "Bacterial small subunit ribosomal RNA", at positions 338 to 795 of the family's 1533-position model. The record is from RNAcentral.